Trichonephila inaurata madagascariensis is the source of this 78-nucleotide non-coding RNA. The record is from the annotation of a GenBank genome assembly. NCBI's taxonomy places the organism in Eukaryota, Metazoa, Arthropoda, Arachnida, Araneae, Nephilidae.
CGUCCUUGGCUGGCGCAGUGGAUAGCGCGUUGGACUUCUAAUUCCAAAGAUCGUUGGUUCGGAUACCACCAGGGAUGA